RNAcentral lists this unclassified non-coding RNA (262 nucleotides) under plant metagenome. RNAcentral describes it as "partial contains small subunit ribosomal RNA, internal transcribed spacer 1, and 5.8S ribosomal RNA". The record is from RNAcentral.
UUUCCGUAGGUGAACCUGCGGAAGGAUCAUUAUUGUAUAACCGAGGUGCGAGGGCUGUCGCUGACCCGAAAGGUCGUGCACGCCCGAGUGCCCUCACACACAUCCAUCUCACCCCUAUGUGCACCACCGCGUGAGUCCCCCUUUGGCUUGUUCGGAGGGGGGCUUACGUUUUCACACAAACUUUGUAUGCAGUGUAGAAUGUAUUUUUUGUUUUGCGAUCACGCAAUCAAUACAACUUUCAACAACGGAUCUCUUGGCUCCC